Molecule: transfer RNA, 71 nt
Filed under: Neotoma lepida (desert woodrat)
Lineage: Eukaryota; Metazoa; Chordata; Mammalia; Rodentia; Cricetidae
Rfam family: tRNA
About the family: Transfer RNA (tRNA) molecules are approximately 80 nucleotides in length. Their secondary structure includes four short double-helical elements and three loops (D, anti-codon, and T loops).
Source: Rfam by way of RNAcentral
UGGGAUGUAGCUCAGUGGUAGAGUCUAACCUGGCAUGCAAAAAGCCCUGGGUUCAAUUCUCAGCAUUACAA